GUGGCGACCGGCGCACGGGUGCGUAACGCGUAUAGAACCUACCUUUUACAGAGGGAUAGCCCAGAGAAAUUUGGAUUAAUACCUCAUAGUAUUAUAGAUUGGCAUCGAUUUAUAAUUAAACAUUUAUGGGUAAGAGAUGGCUAUGCGUCCUAUUAGUUAGAUGGUAAGGUAACGGCUUACCAAGACAGCGAUAGGUAGGGGUCCUGAGAGGGAGACCCCCCACACUGGUACUGAGACACGGACCAGACUCC
This 251-nucleotide ribosomal RNA is filed under the name uncultured bacterium. RNAcentral describes it as "partial 16S ribosomal RNA". It matches the Rfam family "Bacterial small subunit ribosomal RNA", at positions 88 to 339 of the family's 1533-position model. The record is from RNAcentral.